UACGAGGGGUCCUAGCGUUGUUCGGAAUUAUUGGGCGUAAAGAGUCUGUAGGCGGUUUUGUAAGUCAGGUGUGAAAGCCCCGGGCUCAACCCGGGAAGUGCAUCUGAUACUGCUUAACUUGAAUGUUGGAGAGGGUAGUGGAAUUCCUGGUGUAGUGGUGAAAUACGUAGAUAUCAGGAGGAACACCGGUGGCGAAGGCGGCUACCUGGCCAGACAUUGACGCUGAGAGACGAAAGCGUGGGGAUCAAACAGG
RNAcentral lists this ribosomal RNA (253 nucleotides) under uncultured bacterium. RNAcentral's name for it is "partial 16S ribosomal RNA". It matches the Rfam family "Bacterial small subunit ribosomal RNA", at positions 524 to 776 of the family's 1533-position model. The record is from RNAcentral.